GACGAACGCUGGCGGCGUGCUUAACACAUGCAAGUCGUACGGUAAGGCCCUUUCGGGGGUACACGAGUGGCGAACGGGUGAGUAACACGUGAUUAACCUGCCCACAACUUUGGGAUAACGCUAGGAAACUGGUGCUAAUACUGGAUAUGUGCUCCUGCUGCAUGGUGGGGGUUGGAAAGCUCCGGCGGUUGUGGAUGGACUCGCGGCCUAUCAGCUUGUUGGUGGGGUAGUGGCCUACCAAGGCGGCGGCGGGUAGCCGGCCUGGGAGGGUGACCGGCCACAUUGGGACUGGGAUACGGCCCAGACUCCUACGGGAGGCAGCGGUGGGGAAUAUUGCACAAUGGGCGCGAGCCUGAUGCAGCAACGCCGCGUGCGGGAUGACGGCCUACGGGUUGGAAACCGCUUUCAGCAGGGACGAAGCUUUUUGUGACGGUACCUGCAGAAGAAGCACCGGCUAACUACGUG
RNAcentral lists this ribosomal RNA (465 nucleotides) under uncultured bacterium. RNAcentral describes it as "partial 16S ribosomal RNA". It matches the Rfam family "Bacterial small subunit ribosomal RNA", at positions 28 to 507 of the family's 1533-position model. The record is from RNAcentral.